Helicoverpa armigera (cotton bollworm) is the source of this 421-nucleotide long non-coding RNA. RefSeq lists it as uncharacterized. NCBI's taxonomy places the organism in Eukaryota, Metazoa, Arthropoda, Insecta, Lepidoptera, Noctuidae. The transcript has 2 exons. The record is from RefSeq and is a predicted model, not a curated record.
AUCAUUCUAUCUGUGAAUGUGGUCUUGAGGAGGGUACUCUGGAACACUUAUUCUUUUCCUGCCCCCGCCUUAUCAUUCCCCUUUAUGACCUCCUCCCUAAUGACAUCCCCCGUCCUAUUAACAUACCUUUUUUACUAACCUUAGUUCAUUCUCCCACUAUUAAAACCUUAUAUAAAUUUAUUAGUAUAAAUCAGAUCCAUAUAUAACAUAAUUCUCCGCCUUUACACAUAAUUACUGUUCUGAUGUUACCUAUUUUUUCGCUCUUAUAAUACUUCAAAUAUCUCUACAAUCACUGUGGUCACUAGAUAAUUAUUGUUUUAAAAAAAAAAAUUAAAAAACCGAUCAGUGUCAUUUCCUACCUUGACGUUGGCAAAAUCUUCGAUACCAACGAAGGAGCCAUAAACAAAAAGAAGAAGAAGAA